AUUGAACGCUGGCGGCAGGCCUAACACAUGCAAGUCGAACGAGUGGCGGACUGGUGAGUAAUGUCUGGGCAACUGCCCGAUGGAGGGGGAUAACUACUGGAAACGUUAGCUACUACCGCAUACCAUCGGAUGUGCCCAGAUGGGUUUAGCUAGUAGGUGUGGUAUUGGCUCACCUAGGCGACGAUCCCUAGCUGGUCUGAGAGGAUGACCGGCCACACUGGAACUGAGAAACGGUCCAGACUCCUACGGGAGGCAGCAGUGGGGAAUAUUGCACAAUGGGCGAAAGCCUGAUGCAGCCAUGCCGCGUGUAUGAAGAAGGCCUUCGGGUUGUAAAGUACUUUCAGCGAGGAGGCGUUACUCGCAGAAGAAGCACCGGCUAACUCCGUGCCAGCAGCCGCGGUAAUAC
This 406-nucleotide ribosomal RNA is filed under the name uncultured bacterium. RNAcentral describes it as "partial 16S ribosomal RNA". It matches the Rfam family "Bacterial small subunit ribosomal RNA", at positions 30 to 526 of the family's 1533-position model. The record is from RNAcentral.